AGCGCAGGCGGGUUGGCAAGUCCUUGGUGAAAUCCUGAGGCUUAACCUCAGGACUGCCAAUGAUACUGCCGAUCUUGAGUGCAGAAGAGGAGGACGGAAUUCCUGGUGUAGCGGUGAAAUGCGUAGAUAUCAGGAAGAACACCGGUGGCGAAGGCGGUCUUCUGGUCUGUAACUGACGCUCAUGCUCGAAAGCGUGGGGAGCAAACAGGAUUAGAUACCCUGGUAGUCCACGCCCUAAACGAUGGAUACUCGAUGUCGGGUCGCAAGGCCUGGUGUCCAAGCUAACGCGUUAAGUAUCCCACCUGGGGAGUACGAUCGCAAGGUUGAA
This 328-nucleotide ribosomal RNA is filed under the name uncultured bacterium. RNAcentral describes it as "bacterial SSU rRNA". It matches the Rfam family "Bacterial small subunit ribosomal RNA", at positions 568 to 898 of the family's 1533-position model. The record is from RNAcentral.